UAAUUACUCCCUCUGUCCCAUAUUAAGUGACUCAAAUUUGCCCAAAUAUGAAUGUACCUAAAAAGCGUCUAGAUACAUAUAAUAGAAAGUCACUUAAUAUGGGACGGAGGGAGUACUAA
Non-coding RNA from Brachypodium distachyon (stiff brome), 119 nucleotides. Lineage: Eukaryota; Viridiplantae; Streptophyta; Magnoliopsida; Poales; Poaceae. The record is from Rfam.